GACGAACGCUGGCGGCGUGCUUAACACAUGCAAGUCGAACGGAAAGGCCUGCUUUCCCUUGUGGAUUGCGGGUACUCGAGUGGCGAACGGGUGAGUAACACGUGAGUGAUCUGCCCCCAACUUGGGUAUAAGCCUGGGAAACUGGGUCUAAUUCCCGAUAGGACUGCAGGGUGGUGCCUGUGGUGGAAAACGAUUUUCUAGUGGUUGGGGAUGAGCUCGCGGCCUAUCAGCUUGUUGGUGGGGUAAUGGCCUACCAAGGCGGCGACGGGUAGCCGGCCUGGGAUGGUGGACGGCGACAUUGGGACUGGGAUACGGCCCAGACUCCUACGCGAGGCAGCAGUGGGGAAUAUUGCACAAUGGGCGGAAGCCUGAUGCAGCGACGCCGCGUGGGGGAUGACGGGCUUCGGGUUGUAAGCUCCUUUCGACCGCGAGGAAGCCACCUGGUUGGAAGGGUGGUGACGGUAGUGGUAGAAGAAGCACCGGCUAACUACGUG
RNAcentral lists this ribosomal RNA (494 nucleotides) under uncultured bacterium. Its description in RNAcentral is "partial 16S ribosomal RNA". It matches the Rfam family "Bacterial small subunit ribosomal RNA", at positions 28 to 507 of the family's 1533-position model. The record is from RNAcentral.